UGCCAGCAGCCGCGGUAACACGAACUGCGCGAACGUUAUUCGGAAUCACUGGGCUUAAAGAGUGCGUAGGCGGCCUGUCAAGUUGGGUGUGAAAUCCCUCGACUCAACCGAGGAACUGCGCUCAAAACUGGCAGGCUUGAGGGAGACAGAGGUGAGCGGAACUGAUGGUGGAGCGGUGAAAUGCGUUGAUAUCAUCAGGAACACCGGUGGCGAAGGCGGCUCACUGGGUCUCUUCUGACGCUGAGGCACGAAAGCUAGGGUAGCGAACGGGAUUAGAUA
This 279-nucleotide ribosomal RNA is filed under the name uncultured bacterium. Its description in RNAcentral is "partial 16S ribosomal RNA". It matches the Rfam family "Bacterial small subunit ribosomal RNA", at positions 506 to 784 of the family's 1533-position model. The record is from RNAcentral.